AACCUAGCACACCUGCGGUGUGUACCUGCGGAGGGAUCAUUACCGAGUUUACAAACUCCCAACCCUUUGUGAACCUUACCAUAUUGUUGCUUCGGCGGGACCGCCCCGGCGCCUUCGGGCCCGGAACCAGGCGCCCGCCGGAGGCCCCAAACUCUUAUGUCUUUAGUGGUUUUCUCCUCUGAGUGACACAUAAACAAAUAAAUAAAAACUUUCAGCAAUGGAUCUCAGAUCGGAAGAGCA
This 240-nucleotide unclassified non-coding RNA is filed under the name soil metagenome. RNAcentral describes it as "partial contains 5.8S ribosomal RNA, internal transcribed spacer 2, and large subunit ribosomal RNA". The record is from RNAcentral.